GACGAGCGCUGGCGGCGUGCUUAACACAUGCAAGUCGAACGGAAAGGCCCUGCUUUUGUGGGGUGCUCGAGUGGCGAACGGGUGAGUAACACGUGAGUAACCUGCCCUUGACUUUGGGAUAACUUCAGGAAACUGGGGCUAAUACCGGAUAGGAGCUCCUGCUGCAUGGUGGGGGUUGGAAAGUUUCGGCGGUUGGGGAUGGACUCGCGGCUUAUCAGCUUGUUGGUGGGGUAGUGGCUUACCAAGGCUUUGACGGGUAGCCGGCCUGAGAGGGUGACCGGCCACAUUGGGACUGAGAUACGGCCCAGACUCCUACGGGAGGCAGCAGUGGGGAAUAUUGCACAAUGGGCGGAAGCCUGAUGCAGCAAAGCCGCGUGCGGGAUAACGGCCUUCGGGUUGUAAACCGCUUUCGCCUGUGACGAAGCGUGAGUGACGGUAAUGGGUAAAGAAGCACCGGCUAACUACGUG
This 468-nucleotide ribosomal RNA is filed under the name uncultured bacterium. Its description in RNAcentral is "partial 16S ribosomal RNA". It matches the Rfam family "Bacterial small subunit ribosomal RNA", at positions 28 to 507 of the family's 1533-position model. The record is from RNAcentral.